CUCCGGGGAUAACAGGCUGAUCUCCCCCAAGAGUUCAUAUCGACGGGGAGGUUUGGCACCUCGAUGUCGGCUCAUCACAUCCUGGGGCUGGAGAAGGUCCCAAGGGUAUGGCUGUUCGCCAUUUAAAGUGGUACGUGAGCUGGGUUUAGACCGUCGUGAGACAGGUCGGUCCCUAUCUGGUGUGGGCGUAGGAUGAUUGAGGAGACUCUUUCCUAGUACGAGAGGAUUGGAAAGAACGUACCUCUGGUGUGCCAGUUGUCGCGCUAGCGGCACCGCUGGGUAGCUAAGUACGGAAUGGAUAACCGCUGAAUGCAUCUAAGCGGGAAACCAACCUCAAAACUAGACUUCCCUAUCAGAGCCGUGGAAGACCACCACGUUGAUAGGCCAGGUGUGGAAGCAUGGUAACAUGUGAAGCUAACUGGUACUAAUAGCUCGAUUGUUUAUUUUUUUGCUGAUAAGAUUA
This 463-nucleotide ribosomal RNA is filed under the name Rickettsiaceae bacterium. Its description in RNAcentral is "partial 23S ribosomal RNA". It matches the Rfam family "Bacterial large subunit ribosomal RNA", at positions 2466 to 2925 of the family's 2925-position model. The record is from RNAcentral. Lineage: Bacteria; Pseudomonadati; Pseudomonadota; Alphaproteobacteria; Rickettsiales; Rickettsiaceae.